This 504-nucleotide ribosomal RNA is filed under the name Nesophrosyne sp. 48 GMB-2012. RNAcentral describes it as "partial 16S ribosomal RNA". The record is from RNAcentral. Lineage: Eukaryota; Metazoa; Arthropoda; Insecta; Hemiptera; Cicadellidae.
UAAGAAUUUAAAAGUCGAACAGACUUAUUUAUAAGAAUGCUGCUUCUUUAUAAUAUUCUUAAUUCAACAUCGAGGUCGCAAAAUAUAAUAUAGAUAUGAACUCCCCAUUAAAAUUACGCUGUUAUCCCUAAGGUAACUUAAUCUUAUUUUCCUUCUUUAAGGAUCUUAAAUUUCAUAAAUAAAUGAUAUAAAAAACUAAAGUUUACAUUUAGCUACCACCCCAGCAAAAAAUAAAUAUUUAUAUAAUAUAAUAACCCUAAUAAUUAAAUUAAAUUGUAUAAAUUUAUAUAAAGUUCUACAGGGUCUUAUCGUCCCAAUAAACUACUAAAGCAUUUUAACUUUAAAUUUAAAUUCUAAUUUUUCAAGAAAUAAAAUAUAUUUCUCAUACAUCCAUUCAUACAAGCUUCUAAUUAAGAAACUAAUUACUAUGCUACCUUUGCACAGUCAAAAUACUGCAGCCAUUUAGUUAAAACCAUAGGGCAGAAGAUACUUUUUAUAUAAUCA